AACCUGCCCUUAAGUGGGGGAUAACAUUUGGAAACAGAUGCUAAUACCGCAUAAAUCCAAGAACCGCAUGGUUCUUGGCUGAAAGAUGGCGUAAGCUAUCGCUUUUGGAUGGACCCGCGGCGUAUUAGCUAGUUGGUGAGGUAACGGCUCACCAAGGCAAUGAUACGUAGCCGAACUGAGAGGUUGAUCGGCCACAUUGGGACUGAGACACGGCCCAAACUCCUACGGGAGGCAGCAGUAGGGAAUCUUCCACAAUGGACGCAAGUCUGAUGGAGCAACGCCGCGUGAGUGAAGAAGGCUUUCGGGUCGUAAAACUCUGUUGUUGGAGAAGAAUGGUCGGCAGAGUAACUGUUGUCGGCGUGACGGUAUCCAACCAGAAAGCCACGGCUAACUACGUGCCAGCAGCCGCGGUAAUACGUAGGUGGCAAGCGUUAUCCGGAUUUAUUGGGCGUAAAGCGAGCGCAGGCGGUUUUUUAAGUCUGAUGUGAAAGCCCUCGGCUUACCGAGGAAGUGCAUCGGAACUGGGAAACUUGAGUGCAGAAGAGGACAGUGGAACUCCAUGUGUAGCGGUGAAAUGCGUAGAUAUAUGGAAGACACCAGUGGCGAAGCGGCUGUCUGGUCUGUAACUGACGCUGAGGCUCGAAAGCAUGGGUAGCGAACAGGAUUAGAUACCCUGGUAGUCCAUGCCGUAACGAUGA
RNAcentral lists this ribosomal RNA (698 nucleotides) under uncultured Lactobacillus sp. RNAcentral's name for it is "bacterial SSU rRNA". It matches the Rfam family "Bacterial small subunit ribosomal RNA", at positions 123 to 812 of the family's 1533-position model. Lineage: Bacteria; Bacillati; Bacillota; Bacilli; Lactobacillales; Lactobacillaceae. The record is from RNAcentral.